GCCCUCGUAGCUCAGGGGAUAGAGCGCAGCGCUGCGGACGCUGAGGCCGCGCGUUCGAGUCGCGCCGAGGGUACCA
RNAcentral lists this transfer RNA (76 nucleotides) under Chloroflexota bacterium. RNAcentral's name for it is "tRNA-Arg". It matches the Rfam family "tRNA". Rfam says of the family: Transfer RNA (tRNA) molecules are approximately 80 nucleotides in length. Their secondary structure includes four short double-helical elements and three loops (D, anti-codon, and T loops). The record is from RNAcentral. Lineage: Bacteria; Bacillati; Chloroflexota.